CAAAGGUGAGCCAGUACAGGAUGGACCCGCGUCUGAUUAGCUAGUUGGUAAGGUAACGGCUUACCAAGGCGACGAUCAGUAGCCGACCUGAGAGGGUGAUCGGCCACAUUGGAACUGAGACACGGUCCAAACUCCUACGGGAGGCAGCAGUGGGGAAUAUUGCACAAUGGGCGAGAGCCUGAUGCAGCAACGCCGCGUGAGUGAUGAAGGCCUUCGGGUCGUAAAACUCUGUCCUCAAGGAAGAUAAUGACGGUACUUGAGGAGGAAGCCCCGGCUAACUACGCGCCAGCAGCCGCGGUAAUACGUAGGGGGCUAGCGUUAUCCGGAUUUACUGGGCGUAAAGGGUGCGUAGGCGGUCUUUCAAGUCAGGAGUGAAAGGCUACGGCUCAACCGUAGUAAGCUCUUGAAACUGGGAGACUUGAGUGCAGGAGAGGAGAGUGGAAUUCCUAGUGUAGCGGUGAAAUGCGUAGAUAUUAGGAGGAACACCAGUUGCGAAGGCGGCUCUCUGGACUGUAACUGACGCUGAGGCACGAAAGCGUGGGGAGCAAACAGGAUUAGAUACCCUGGUAGUCCACGCUGUA
This 581-nucleotide ribosomal RNA is filed under the name uncultured bacterium. RNAcentral describes it as "bacterial SSU rRNA". It matches the Rfam family "Bacterial small subunit ribosomal RNA", at positions 202 to 804 of the family's 1533-position model. The record is from RNAcentral.